Molecule: ribosomal RNA, 484 nt
Filed under: uncultured bacterium
Lineage: Bacteria
Description: partial 16S ribosomal RNA
Rfam family: Bacterial small subunit ribosomal RNA
Source: RNAcentral
GUUGAACGCUGGCGGCAUGCCUAACACAUGCAAGUCGAGCGGAUGGAGGGAGCUUUCGCCUGGAUUCAGCGGCGGACGGGGGAGUAAUACCUGGGAGUCUGCCUGGUAGGGGGGGGGGACAUCCGGAAACGGGCGCUGAUACCACAUACGACCUGAGGGAGAAAGUGGGGGAGCGUCGGACAUCACGCUAUCAGGUGAGCCUAGGUCGGAUUAGCUAGUUUGUGGGGUAAGGAGCUACUUAGGCGACGAUCCGUAGAUGGUCUGAGAGGAUGAUCAGUCACACUGGAACUGAGACACGGUCCAUACUCCUACGGUAGGCAGCAGUGGGGUAUAUUGGACAAUGGGCGAAAGCAUGAUCCAGUCAGGCCGAGUGUGUGAAGAAGGUCCUCGGAUUGUAAAGCACGUUAAGUUGUGAGGAACCGCAGUAAGCUAAUACCUUGCUGUUUUGACGGUACCAACAGAAUAAGCACCGGCUAACUUCGUG